RNAcentral lists this long non-coding RNA (900 nucleotides) under Ictidomys tridecemlineatus (thirteen-lined ground squirrel). RNAcentral describes it as "lncRNA (ENSSTOG00000034097.1)". The record is from RNAcentral. Lineage: Eukaryota; Metazoa; Chordata; Mammalia; Rodentia; Sciuridae.
GCGGGGUCGGUCCCGGGCGCGGGCGGCGCCUCCACUCCGAUAGUCAGCGGCGACGGGGGCAGCUGCGACGGCACAUCACACCCGCCGGCGGCCGGAGGAGGAAAGCAAACCACGCAGGGAGGGAUCGAGCGAGGUAGGGGGGAAGGAACGAGCGAGGGAGGUAAGGCAGCUCGGCCCGGCUCGGACUAGGUCUCAGCACUACAGCCAGUGCUUCCUACCGCCGCCGCUGGCCGGAGAGUCGCCGCCCGGGCCGCUGCUGUCGCCACCGAUGCAGUCGGGAAUGAAUGCACAGCGGCACCUCACUUAUCCGGAGGUCAAACAUCCUUCUGCCUCGAGCAUCCGGAUCGGCGCCGGACCCGGAAGUGAACACAUGGAAAAAAAAAAUUAAAAAGGAAAGCGUCUCCCUAGCGGUGGCGGCCCCUCAAGCUGCCCGCAUCAGCGAAUGGAGCCGAGUAGAGCCGAAGAUUUCACCGAACGGCUAGGAUUGGUCGGAUCGCCGACCGGAAGGGAGGCCGCGCACUCAUUGGCUGGCAAGCUUUAUAAAACCUUAACCACUCCCUGUCUCCACCUUCGCGCGAGCGGAAAAUUGCUCAUGAACAGAGUCUUGGUCACAUGUCUGAAUGAGAGUUUCCAGGAACGUGAAGACGGGAUAUCUGGCUUUUGUGGCUUCUGUAACAGAGGGGAUUAUAGAAUGAAGAAUUUUGCUCAAAUCUUUUAAGAUGCUGGAAGCCAUCCCCUCCUCACACACAUACAUAGAAGACAACUUAAAAAGUCAACCAUCUAAUGUCACUAUAAUUAAUGUGUGGUCUAUUUAUAAAAAUAAUUGUCAACCUAGGAGUGAAAUAAAAGAAAAAUCUUUUUUGUAAAAAAUUAUCUGAUUCUAUGAAAGAAUUUUAGGCU